GGGCUCACCUCAGCAGCACAUAUACUUAAAUUGGAACAGUACAGAGGAGAUCAGCUUGGCCCUUGAACAAGGAUGACGUGCAAAUUUGUGAAGCAUUCCAUAUAAUA
Neogale vison (American mink) is the source of this 107-nucleotide small nuclear RNA. The record is from Ensembl. NCBI's taxonomy places the organism in Eukaryota, Metazoa, Chordata, Mammalia, Carnivora, Mustelidae.